ACCAUUUGUGAAAUAAGUCAUUUUAUGGACCUGUCUAGCAAGGUAGAUGCAUUGUCCCAUAAGAUUGACCAACUGAUGAUAGGAGGACAUGUCGUUAGCUCUUCCCAAGCACAAGUGUUCUAGCCCAUCGCAUCUUAUUCAUGAGUGCCCCUCAGCACCCCAAUUCCCCGAACUCCUGCAAGAACACAUCAAUGCUGCUCAAACA
Molecule: long non-coding RNA, 205 nt
Filed under: Phoenix dactylifera (date palm)
Lineage: Eukaryota; Viridiplantae; Streptophyta; Magnoliopsida; Arecales; Arecaceae
Description: long non-coding RNA (PDAC_LNC013119)
Source: RNAcentral